UAUCCUACGGGGCGCAGCAGUGGGGGAUAUUGCACAAUGGGGGGAACCCUGAUGCAGCGACGCCGCGUGAGGGAAGACGGCCUUCGGGUUGUAAACCUCUGUCGCAGGGGACGAAGGAGAUGACGGUACCUGAAGAAGAAGCCCCGGCUAACUACGUGCCAGCAGCCGCGGUAAUACGUAGGGGGCAAGCGUUAUCCGGAUUUACUGGGGGUAACGGGGGCGCAGACAGCGAUGCAAGCCAGGAGUGAAAGCCCGGGGCCCAACCCCGGGACUGCUCUUGGAACUGCGUGGCUGGAGUGCAGGAG
Molecule: ribosomal RNA, 305 nt
Filed under: uncultured bacterium
Lineage: Bacteria
Description: bacterial SSU rRNA
Rfam family: Bacterial small subunit ribosomal RNA
Source: RNAcentral